CGGCGGACGGGUGAGUAACACGUGGAUAACCUACCUAUAAGACUGGGAUAACUUCGGGAAACCGGAGCUAAUACCGGAUAAUAUUUUGAACCGCAUGGUUCAAAAGUGAAAGACGGUCUUGCUGUCACUUAUAGAUGGAUCCGCGCUGCAUUAGCUAGUUGGUAAGGUAACGGCUUACCAAGGCAACGAUGUAUAGCCGACCUGAGAGGGUGAUCGGCCACACUGGAACUGAGACACGGUCCAG
Molecule: ribosomal RNA, 244 nt
Filed under: uncultured Staphylococcus sp.
Lineage: Bacteria; Bacillati; Bacillota; Bacilli; Caryophanales; Staphylococcaceae
Description: partial 16S ribosomal RNA
Rfam family: Bacterial small subunit ribosomal RNA
Source: RNAcentral